ACUGGCAUAAUGGAGCAACAAGCCAAACAUUAUUCUUCAUCACGGAAGACACAAAUCUCAUCAGAAAAUAACGAUGGCCGGAGUUUGAACCCUUUCGGACAGAUCUGACACAUUGAUAAUAAAUAAAGUAAAAAUAACAAAAGAGAAAAACACAAAGAAGUACCAUUUGCCAGAGUUGGAACAUGGAUCGUUGGUUGUUUAGUCUCUGAGCUCCGUCGGAGUUUGAGGUUGUCUGGUUUCGCCGGAGAUUGCAGUUGCUAGUGAGUUUGCUGGAGUUCCUGUCUUGCUGUUCAGCUGCUGGGCUCAUGUAUUAUCGGAGCUCGUUGUUCAAUGAAGCUAAGGCUUGCCGGAAACAAUGGAGAAAGGGGAGAGUAGCGUGGUGGCUUGGGAUGGAGGUCUGGUGGUUUUCAGGUGCGUUUGCGUCGAUUCUUGGGGGCUGCUGGUCGUUGUUUUCGUUGGUCAGUGAGAACAAGUGGGGUCUAAUUUCUGGUGUGGUUUUCUGACCGUUUUGGUUUGCUAACCUGGUGGUGAUUUACUGGUUUUUGGUGGUUGUUGUAGCAGCGGAAAAGAGGGAAAAAUGGGGGUUUGAGGUGUGUUUUGUGAGGGCAACAUUGGUGGAGGUUGUUUGGGUUGCCGGUGGCGAUUUGGAGUUGGGUUGCCGGAAAAUAGAGGGAAAAUGAGGGAAAAAGGAGGGAAAAAAAAACAAAGGGAUUUUGGUGGUGAAUUCGCCAGAUUUCGGCGAAACUCCGAUGAGCUUGUCAUCGAAAAAUUAUCAACACUAAAGACUCAAAAAUCUAAAAAUUAUCUCUAAAAUUUUAUUCACCACCUCUUGACUUAAUGACUAAGUUAUUGUUUAAAUAGGAAAUUAAAAAUCAUCCAUAGUACAAUAUCAUUAUCUUAAAAU
This 904-nucleotide long non-coding RNA is filed under the name Solanum tuberosum (potato). Its description in RNAcentral is "long non-coding RNA (STUB_LNC003698)". Lineage: Eukaryota; Viridiplantae; Streptophyta; Magnoliopsida; Solanales; Solanaceae. The record is from RNAcentral.